UUCUAUCUUAGGAGGGGAGAGAACAAUGGAAGCAAAAGAUGGGGUGUCUUGAGUAAAUUUCCAGUUUAUUGAAAAAACUUGGUCACUCUCUGGAUCAUGAUUUUUGCUGGGUAGAGGAAACUCCCUUUUAUAGGCACUUAGAACCAUAAUUAUAUCGAUCAUCCAUUCCCACUUUUCCUUUGCUUCUUUCCAUUCACCAUUUUUGGUGAAAUUUCUUUAACCAGAGCGCAUGGGUCACAGGCUCUUUGGGGUUCCAAGGUUUUUGUAUGGUUGGACCUCCCCGUGGGGGUGAGGCGCCACCUGUUUUCUUCCUUGGUUUUCAAAACAAAGCUCACAGAGGAAAAGAGAAUGGGUAGAGUCGUUUGUCCAAUGGGUACUCCUCUUACACAUAUGGAUUCCCUUUGGUUCCUGCCAUGGCUUCUCGUUGACUAUUUUGGAGUUUUGACAAGGGUGACAUACAAUGCUAGAUUUUUACAAGGCGCUAGGCUGGGCUUUGUUUACAGUAUUGAGUUAUUGGUAUUCUAUUUCCAGCGUCCAAUGGGUUUUCGUCAAGCUACUGGAAAUAGUCUAUUUGUUUUAUUUUGGGCAUUUUACUGAUGUGGGUUUGUCUAAGUGUUGCAGCAGACUACUAGAUGUUCUCCUAAGGCAUUGGAUCACUUUCUUCCCUCUCUCAUGCUAACCCAUGUGUUUGGGCCCGAGGAAUGGUCUUAAGUUUUAAUGCUCCCAAGUGGCCUAAAACUUUCAUUCCUUAAACCCUCAAUGGGCCCUGUGAGUGCGUGUUCCCGUCCAUGCCACAACCUUCUCAGCAAGCCCGGGGUAAUUACGUGGCUUGGGCUCACUUAAGCCGGUAGCACGACUUGGCAUUAGAAUAGCAGUUAUUCACAUGGCAUUGCGUGUUUUUCUAGCAUGCUUGUGCUUGAGUUUUAUCGUGUCGCAAUAAACUAUGAUCGGGCCAAGUAGCAUGGGAUAGGUUGGUAAGUGUGAAUUUAUAGAUUCGGUGCAUUUUGGUCUUUUUUGCGUGGCGGGCGUGCAUGUUUGCUAGGCGUGACGUGUGGUCCAUGACUUGCACGGGUGCGUCCUACAAAUUCUCUUAUGCCUCAAUUGGGCUCCUUUUGGGAUCAAUUAUUUGUGCUGGGCCAAGAAUAAAUCGGGCCCAACCCUUGGAUUUUCCCCAAACUUGUAUAAUCAUAAUCCCUUCUCUUUUCC
Molecule: long non-coding RNA, 1206 nt
Filed under: Prunus persica (peach)
Lineage: Eukaryota; Viridiplantae; Streptophyta; Magnoliopsida; Rosales; Rosaceae
Description: long non-coding RNA (PPER_LNC007547)
Source: RNAcentral